This is an RNA transcript of Ipomoea nil (Japanese morning glory), 5299 nucleotides long. It is a transcript of the gene named ABC transporter C family member 14, with no coding region annotated. The record is from RefSeq and is a predicted model, not a curated record. NCBI's taxonomy places the organism in Eukaryota, Viridiplantae, Streptophyta, Magnoliopsida, Solanales, Convolvulaceae. The transcript is spliced from 13 exons.
CCACGCCUCUUCCACCAUUCAACCAAGGAGACCGCUGUUCUUCAGCGCUGGAAGUGUGUUUCAUUACUGACCAUGUAUUGUAUACAAUAAGUGUAGUAGUGUGUGUGUAUAUAUAUAUAUUCUCGGAAUCUGUUUAAACUUCUGAAAUAAGAAAAUUACCAGGAUUUGUUCUACGUAAUUAUCUGUUCAUUUGUUGUCGUAAUCAUCGUAGAUUACACGAUCUUUCUUCGAAAUCGCUGCGCACAGAUUGUCAAAGCCUGUCGACGACUUACGGUACUUUAUGUAAUUAUUAUAUAUAUAUAUUUGUGAAAACAUUAUAUUGCAUUGCGUGGCGGUAGAAAAUUUCAUCUCCUCCGCAACACCCUCAGCCAUCUGCGGUGGAGGAGCUACUUGGUCCUGGCGGCUGAGACGCAGGUUCAUAAGAUUCCGUCUGGGCCAGUAUAAGGCGCUUUCUGGGUGGAAUCUAGGACGGUCCCAGAUAGCAGACUGGUUGGGAAUGAAGAUGGAGAAUAGCAUGAUGUCCUCUUCUUCAGGUUCUUGGAUUGGAUCGCUUUCUUGUUCUGGCCCGGAGGAGGACGUGUCUGUUUCGUUGGCAAUCAGAUGGCUGAGAUUCAUCUUCCUUUCUCCAUGUCCUCAGAGAACUCUGUUGUCUGCCGUUGAUAUCCUGUUCCUUCUUACUCUAGUUGUCUUUGCAAUCCAGAAGCUCUAUUCUAAGUUCAGUUCUGAUAGGCAGCAAUCCAAUGGAUCGAGCAAUGGGAUUGAAAAGCCUCUCAUCGAAAGCCAAAGAGUUCGAGUUCAAACGGAUGUUUGGUUUAAGUUAUCCCUAAUUCUUUCGGCUAUUCUAGGAAUUGCUUCUCUAGCGUUAUGCAUUUUCACAUUUAGCAGGAGUAGCUCAUCUUCAUGGUAUGUCGUAGAUGGGCUAUUUUGGCUGUUUCAAGCAAUAACUCAUUUAGUCAUCACUGUUCUAAUCGGUCAUGAGAAAAAAUUCCAAGCUGUAACUCAUCCGAUGACCCUUCGUCUGUUCUGGAUUGCAGACUUUAUUGUAAUUACCUUGUUCUUAGGCUCGGGGAUUACUCGUGUAGUCUCAGGACAAGAAAGUGAUCCUAAUUUGAUGUUGGAUGAUAUAAGUUCAUUCGUGGCGUUUCCCAUUUCACUCGUUCUUCUGAUUGUUGCUGUGAAAGGAUCAACUGGAAUAACAGUGACAAGGGAUUCUGAAUCAGAAGGGGAUGAUGAGGGGCAAGAAUAUGAAACUGUUCUGGGGAAAUCCAAUGUGACUGGCUAUGCUUCGGCCUCGCUCCUAUCCAGAACGUUUUGGAUUUGGAUGAACCCGUUGUUGAGGAAGGGCUACAAGGCACCGCUAAAGCUCGAUGAUGUUCCUACACUUUCACCCGAGCAUCGAGCCGAGAGAAUGUCAGAGCUUUUCGAGAGGAAUUGGCCUAAACCCGAGGAGAACUCGAAGCAUCCUGUCAGAACCACAUUGCUUCGUUGCUUCUGGAAAGAAGUUUUACUCACCGCUACCCUUGCAAUCGUAAGGCUGUGUGUGAUGUACGUCGGGCCAUUGCUCAUCCAGAGGUUCGUUGAUUACACGUCGGGGAAGAGGACAUCUCCUUACGAAGGAUACUACCUCGUUGGCACCCUCAUGGUUGCCAAAUUCGUCGAAGUUUUGACCUCUCAUCACUUCAAUUUCAAUUCCCAGAAGCUCGGGAUGCUCAUCCGGUCCACACUCAUCACCUCGUUAUACAAGAAGGGCUUGAGACUCACCUGCUCGGCUAGACAGGAUCACGGGGUCGGGCAGAUAGUAAACUACAUGGCGGUCGAUGCUCAGCAAUUGUCCGAUAUGAUGCUGCAGCUCCACGCUGUAUGGCUUAUGCCCGUGCAAGUUUCCAUAGCUUUAGCCAUCCUAUAUCUUAACCUCGGAGCCUCAACAGUCGUAACGCUGGUUGGACUUGUUGCGGUUUUGCUAUUCGUCGUGCUUGGCACUCGAAGGAACAACAGGUUCCAGUUCAAUAUCAUGAAGAACCGCGAUUCGAGAAUGAAGGCGACGAAUGAGAUGCUUAAUUACAUGCGUGUCAUAAAGUUCCAGGCCUGGGAAGAUCAUUUCAACGAGAGAAUACAAUCGUUCCGGGAUAUAGAAUAUGGGUGGCUAUCUAAGUUUAUGUAUUCGAUUGCUGGGAAUUUGAUCGUUCUGUGGAGCACUCCAUUGCUCGUGGCUACACUCACAUUCGGAAGCGCGAUUUUGAUGGGGAUUCCACUCGAUGCUGGGACAGUAUUUACAGCAACUGCGCUCUUUAAGAUGCUGCAGGAGCCUAUCAGGUCCUUUCCACAAUCCAUGAUCUCUCUUUCACAGGCGAUGAUAUCUCUCGAGAGAUUAGAUAAAUAUAUGAUCAGUAAGGAGUUGGCUGACAAGUCGGUGGAAAGAGGGGAAGGCUGUGGGGAUGGAAUUGCGGUGGAAGUGAAAGAUGGCACUUUUAGUUGGGACGAUGAACGAGGCGAAAAAGUACUGAAAGAUGUAAAUUUCGAAGUUAAGAAAGGCGAACUUACAGCUGUAGUUGGGACGGUUGGAUCUGGGAAAUCAUCUCUUCUAGCAUCAGUUCUUGGCGAGAUGCACAAGCUCUCAGGGAAGGUAAGAGUUUGUGGUUCAACUGCCUAUGUUGCGCAAACAUCAUGGAUUCAGAACGGGACCAUACAAGAGAACAUCCUAUUUGGUUCACCAAUGAAUCGCCCGAGAUACGAGGAAGUCAUCAAGGUUUGCUGCCUGGAAAAAGAUCUCGAGAUGAUGGAGUACGGAGAUCAGACCGAAAUUGGAGAGCGUGGUAUUAACCUCAGUGGUGGCCAGAAACAGCGAAUUCAACUUGCAAGAGCUGUAUAUCAGGAUUGCGACAUUUACCUGCUCGAUGAUGUCUUCAGUGCUGUUGAUGCUCACACUGGUUCCGAAAUCUUCAAGGAAUGUGUAAAGGGCGCCCUUAAAAAUAAGACGACUAUACUGGUUACACAUCAAAUCGACUUCUUGCAUAACGUUGAUCUUAUCCUCGUGAUGAGAGACGGGAUGAUUGUGCAAUCGGGAAAAUAUAACGAUCUGCUAGAAUCCGGCCUGGAUUUCAAGUCACUAGUAGCUGCUCACGAGUCGUCCCUAGAACUAGUUGACGUUGAAACCACUUCGGGCAGCAAAGAUUCACCUGGGAUGGAAAAAACGAGACAAAGGUCAUUUAAACAAGGCGAUGAAAACGAGGAUGUAGCUCAGCAGCAAUCCGAGGGUGGCACGGGAGGUUCUAAGCUGAUAAAGGAAGAGGAACGAGAGACGGGAACUGUCGGUUUCCAUGUUUACAAAUUAUAUUGCACCGAGGCUUUUGGAUGGUGGGGUGUAGUGGGAGUUGUGUUUUUAUCAUUGUUUUGGCAAGGGACUCAAAUGGCAAGCGAUUAUUGGUUGGCUUAUGAAACCUCUGAGGAACGCUCGUUCAAUCCUUCUUUGUUUCUUGAGGUAUAUGGUAUCAUUGCGGUUGUGUCUGGUUUGGUGGUAGUUGUGAGAAUGUACUCCAUCACGCUUAUGGGGCUCAAGACUGCUCAAAUAUUCUUCGGGCAAAUUCUCUACAGCAUACUGCACGCUCCAAUGUCGUUCUUCGAUACCACACCUUCCGGAAGAAUUCUCAGUCGGGCUUCGAAUGAUCAGACCAACAUCGAUGUUUUCCUCCCGUUCUUUAUGAAUCUCACUUUGGCCUUUUACAUCACACUCAUUGGCAUCAUCAUCAUGACAUGCCAAUAUACUUGGCCGACUGUCGUACUUCUGAUUCCUCUCGGUUGGCUAAACUUCUGGUGCCGGGGAUACUUUCUUGCGACCUCCCGGGAAUUGACCAGGCUAGAUUCGAUUACGAAGGCACCCGUUAUCCAUCACUUCUCUGAAAGCAUUGCGGGCGUUAUGACCAUUCGUUGCUUCAGGAAGCAGGAAGGGUUUUCUCAAGAAAAUGUCACUCGGGUUAAUGAGAACUUGCGUAUGGAUUUCCACAAUAACGGGUCCAAUGAAUGGCUAGGGUGCCGGUUAGAAAUGAUUGGAAGCUUCAUACUUUGCAUCUCUGCAAUGUUCAUGAUUGUUUUGCCCAGCAGUAUCAUCAAGCCAGAAAAUGUUGGGUUAUCUCUGUCGUAUGGAUUGUCCCUCAACGCCUCGCUGUUCUGGACUAUAUUCAUAAGCUGCUUCGUGGAAAAUAAAAUGGUUUCGGUUGAGAGGAUCAAGCAGUUCACCAACAUACCAUCAGAGGCAGAAUGGAGAAAGAAAGAUCUUCUUCCCCCUCCAAACUGGCCCUCCAAGGGAAACGUUGAGCUCGAAAACUUGCAGGUGAGAUACCGCCCGAACACCCCUUUGGUUCUGAAAGGCAUUACUCUCAGCAUUGAAGGGGGCGAGAAGAUAGGUGUUGUGGGGCGAACCGGGGGUGGAAAAUCCACUCUGAUCCAAGUGUUCUUCAGGCUGGUGGAGCCUGCAGCCGGAAGAAUAGUCAUUGAUGACAUUGACAUUUCCGUUUUAGGCCUUCAUGAUCUUCGUUCCCGCUUUGGAAUCAUUCCUCAGGAGCCCGUUCUUUUCGAAGGAACCGUGAGGAGCAACAUAGACCCCAUUGGACAGUACUCAGAUGAAGAUAUCUGGAAGAGCCUCGAACGGUGCCAGCUUAAAGACGUCGUGGCCUCAAAACCCGAGAAACUCAACUCUCCAGUUGUUGACAAUGGAGAUAACUGGAGCGUCGGGCAAAGGCAACUUCUUUGCUUGGGAAGAGUAAUGCUAAAACGAAGCCGGCUUCUGUUCAUGGAUGAGGCUACGGCUUCCGUGGAUUCACAGACGGAUGGCGUGAUUCAGAGGAUCAUCCGGGAGGACUUCGCUUCCUGCACAAUAAUCAGCAUUGCUCACAGAAUACCAACCGUCAUGGAUUGCAACCGAGUUCUGGUUAUAGAUGCAGGAAGAGCCAAGGAAUUCGACAGGCCAUCGCGGUUGCUGGAGAGGCCAUCGCUCUUCGGGGCUUUAGUUCAGGAGUAUGCUAACAGAUCAUCUGAACUGUAGAUCAGCUAUGAUGGGAGACAAUUUUCUUCUGCUAAAAUGACAAUAACUCCCCAAGAGCCUCUCGGGCAGGAGUAUCGAAUCUUAGUUGUAGAAUUAUGUUGGAAUCUUGGAUUGAUACCUAGGACGAUGCAUGGGAUUUAUGAUGUUCUGGCAAAUGCAUAUGGUAUGUAGCAUAGUGUGUACAACUGCUUCUUGUUGCAGAAGUGGAGAAAACAGAAUCCACAUAUUUAUUGUAUGGAGUAUUAUGUCUACAUUUGGAUA